AAAUUGAAGAGUUUGAUCAUGGCUCAGAUUGAACGCUGGCGGCAGGCCUAACACAUGCAAGUCGAACGGUAACAGGAAGCAGCUUGCUGCUUYGCUGACGAGUGGCGGACGGGUGAGUAAUGUCUGGGAAACUGCCUGAUGGAGGGGGAUAACUACUGGAAACGGUGGCUAAUACCGCAUAACGUCGCAAGACCAAAGAGGGGGACCUUCGGGCCUCUUGCCAUCAGAUGUGCCCAGAUGGGAUUAGCUUGUUGGUGAGGUAACGGCUCACCAAGGCGACGAUCCCUAGCUGGUCUGAGAGGAUGACCAGCCACACUGGAACUGAGACACGGUCCAGACUCCUAUA
This 346-nucleotide ribosomal RNA is filed under the name Salmonella enterica. Its description in RNAcentral is "bacterial SSU rRNA". Lineage: Bacteria; Pseudomonadati; Pseudomonadota; Gammaproteobacteria; Enterobacterales; Enterobacteriaceae. The record is from RNAcentral.